CCUACGGGUGGCAGCAGUGAGGAAUAUUGGUCAAUGGGCGUAAGCCUGAACCAGCCAAGUCGCGUGAGGGAUGAAGGUUCUAUGGAUCGUAAACCUCUUUUAUAAGGGAAUAAAGUGUGGGACGUGUCCUGUUUUGUAUGUACCUUAUGAAUAAGGAUCGGCUAACUCCGUGCCAGCAGCCGCGGUAAUACGGAGGAUCCGAGCGUUAUCCGGAUUUAUUGGGUUUAAAGGGUGCGUAGGCGGCCUUUUAAGUCAGCGGUGCAAGUCUGUGGCUCAACCAUAGAAUUGCCGUUGAAACUGGGAGGCUUGAGUAUGUUUGAGGCAGGCGGAAUGCGUGGUGUAGCGGUGAAAUGCUUAGAUAUCACGCAGAACCCCGCUUGCGAAGGCAGCCUGCCAAGCCAUGCCUGACGCUGAUGCACGACAGCGUGGGGAUCAAACAGGAUUAGAUACCCCGGUAGUC
RNAcentral lists this ribosomal RNA (460 nucleotides) under uncultured bacterium. RNAcentral's name for it is "partial 16S ribosomal RNA". It matches the Rfam family "Bacterial small subunit ribosomal RNA", at positions 338 to 795 of the family's 1533-position model. The record is from RNAcentral.